This is a long non-coding RNA of Mobula hypostoma (lesser devil ray), 2547 nucleotides long. RefSeq lists it as uncharacterized. The transcript has 3 exons. The record is from RefSeq and is a predicted model, not a curated record. NCBI's taxonomy places the organism in Eukaryota, Metazoa, Chordata, Chondrichthyes, Myliobatiformes, Myliobatidae.
GUAGACCCCAUUUUAAAUCUCAUCCUACUCACCAAUCGAAUUGACAGCGAAGUAAUGUCAUGCCACUGGAAUUGGAUUCGAACCCAUAACAUUAUGACUAACAGGACAAAUCAAUUAUUUCUGAAAUCAAUCUAGGAAGCAGUUGGGCAGAAGGUACCAACGGCUAUGUACCACCAGACUGAAGACCGCUUCUAACCCACUGAUAUCGGAUUCUUUAACAGACCUCUCACAGAAUCAAAGCUAUUUUUUCAGGACCUUGGAUUUGAUCAGAGUCUCCCUUCGCUUGGUUUGUCUCUCAGGAUGGACUGCCCUGUCCUUUUUUUUCUAUUUAGAAUAGUGUUUUUUUUCCUUUUUUUUAAUAUAAUAUUCCUUCCUUUCUUCAUAAAUUGAUAAGAGGAGAAUGAAUUACAUUCUUUUUUUCUGUAUCGUACAUUCUAUAUCAAAUUUAUACUUUGUAGAUCAACACCAUGUGUGAUUCUGAUAUUGUUUAUUUUACCUUCUGUAUGUACUGUUAUUGACGUAUAUACUAGAGAUAUUCUCCUCCUGUUUGUAUACACACUUUAAAAAAAAUCGAUAAAAAGAUUGAAAAAAAGAAAAGAAAGAUGCUAUAUAAAUGAAAGCUUUUGUUAGCAGUGACAGUGCUCAGCUAAAAUGUGGUCAUCUAGAGGGAAACUUUUGACAGUCUGGAAAUUUUGUUCUGAUUUUUAACUUGACCUGAUUUCCCAAAAGUGUCUAAACAUUUGUAUCCAGAACAUAAAAUCAGCUCACUAUUAUCCUGUGCAAUACAUGUAAAAUAUAUUUUAUCUUUACUAUAAUUCAUAUUAAUUAAACUUCACAUGUCACUGAUCAAGCAGAAAUAUAAGACAUUAAGGAACUUGACAGGAACAUUAAAAUACUAGAGCCAAAUUAUCUGUGGUCUCACAUAUGGCAAUAUUUACUUUACUGCAGCAACCAGCUUAAAAUUGACCACGUAACAUCGUUCGAAUCUGAAACAGCUACAUAUUGUGGCUAUUACACUUUCAUCAACAGAUAGCCUUGUAGGUGAUUUAUAUUAGUAUAUUAGUUUCGUACACAGUUCCAGUUGUAAUUAUUUCUCUACACAUUGUACAUCCUGUCCACGUAGGUAUCUUUGGACCCUCAGAAAUUGUGGAUCAGGAUGUCAUUUACCAACAAGUUGACAUUUAUCAGCCUAUUUCUUGUUCCAGCACCUCUUGAACUGUGUCCUUUCACAUUACAGACAUACAAAAAGGAGGUCCAAAUCAACUCAGGCUCUCAAAUCAUUGCAACAUUUUUUACUGUACAUUCUUUGAUAACUUCCAGUCUUGUAUUGUUCAAAGAAAUGGGGAGAAAAAAUUCGACUGGCAAGCAACUAACAAAAACACACUGUACCAAUUGGACUUCAGAGAUGGUGGAACACUGCAAUAAAAUCCAUUUGGAACAAGGAGCACAGAUGUGACUACCUUAGGUCACUGACAAAAUCUCUGCACCUUAUGACUGAAAGAAUCAGACAUUUUAGUCUACAUUCAGACUUCAGGAAGGGAAAGUCAGGAGAACACACACGAGUCCUCACUGAGGGGUCAGUGGUGUACAAGGUGAGCAGCUUCAACUUCCUGGUGUCAAUAUCUUGGAGGAUCUAUCCUGGGCCCGAAACAUUGAUGCAGUCAUGAGAAAGGCAAGCCAAUAGCUCCACUUCAGAGUUUUGGUAUGCUAUCAAAGACUCUUGUGAAUCUCUAUAGAUGUACAGAGGAGAGCAUUCUGACAGGUCAAGUCACAAUAUGGUACAGAGCCUUCAAUGCGCUGGAUCUCAAGAUCAAAAUUAGCCUUUGCAAGACACCUAGACAGAGCACCUCCCACCAUCAUUAAUGUAGGGAUUGGUUCUGCUAGGUUGGGGACCCAUGGUUCAUGGUCACCAUUGUCCAUGCCAUCUGGCAAAACCAAGAACAUGGUUUAUUCAUCACUGGUCAUACAAAUCUGUCACAGUCUGGAGCUGAACCAGCUAGUCCAAUAAUGAGUGAAAAUUACCAGGGUAUAGAACUCCAGCUUACCACAGGAGGGAAGCCUCAGCAGCUCUCCAAAGAACACACCCUCGUUGAUUGACCUGUGACCACUUUUGGAAGUACACACACACAUAUUGCAUUGUCAUUCCGCUAUUGUUGCGCUGAGUGUACGCACUACAAUGUCUUCCCCUGGGAUAUUCUCAUAAUAGGUUUGGCUUUAUGGCCUUUCCCGCCAUACACGGUGGAAUAUUCCAUGGCAUUAGUAAUGGAGAUGUGGAAAUAUUGUUUACAUAAUGUAAUUAAGAUAGAUAUUGUUUAAAUCGUAAUAUGAUCAUAACUACGUUGUGGGGUGCAUCAUAUUCUAAUUCCUUUGUAGAUUUAAGUUAACCUUGUGGGUGAUUAGUGCCGGGAUGUCCUGGUGCCUAAAAAACGGGCCAGAUCACUCUGAGUAAAAGGGGGAGGGGGGAGAGGGCGAGGGAGAUGUUGGGAGUUCACAGUGGACAUAGUAUGACACUAUAAUGUGUUUUCUGGUAGAUACCUUUUUGUAAAU